Non-coding RNA from Arachis ipaensis, 455 nucleotides. The record is from RefSeq and is a predicted model, not a curated record. NCBI's taxonomy places the organism in Eukaryota, Viridiplantae, Streptophyta, Magnoliopsida, Fabales, Fabaceae.
UUCAUCAAUUCUGCCAUCUUGGCUCUUUCUCUUUUCUUGGUGGUGGUUCUGUGGUUUCACAAGAUAUUCCAAAGUACACAAUGGUAGCCGGAGAAAGAGCGGAGCUUCGGGGUCUAAAUUUAGUGGGCCUAACUCGACGUGGAUUCAGCACUGCAGAGAUCAAGAACCUUAAAGCAGUCUAUCGGAAGAUAUUCAUGCGUGCUGAUGCAAAUGCCGGGUCAUUCGAGGAUAGGCUUACCGAAGUGGUAUUUCUCUAUUUUGCUUUAUCGCUUUCAGGUAGCCAUGAUUUGUAGUAACUUAGCACUGUCACAUUAUAGAUAUAAUUGCGCUGGUGUGGUUAACCACCCCCUUCCCCCGGUGGCACACGCAAAAGAAAAAAAAAAAAAGAAAAAGGAAAGAAAACUGCAUGUUGCCUUUUGUCUGAUAUAAAUUUCUAACCUAAGGUUGUUAAUAAA